This 643-nucleotide ribosomal RNA is filed under the name Polymorphospora rubra. RNAcentral describes it as "bacterial SSU rRNA". It matches the Rfam family "Bacterial small subunit ribosomal RNA", at positions 232 to 885 of the family's 1533-position model. Lineage: Bacteria; Bacillati; Actinomycetota; Actinomycetes; Micromonosporales; Micromonosporaceae. The record is from RNAcentral.
CGCGGCCUAUCAGCUUGUUGGUGGGGUGAUGGCCUACCAAGGCGACGACGGGUAGCCGGCCUGAGAGGGCGACCGGCCACACUGGGACUGAGACACGGCCCAGACUCCUACGGGAGGCAGCAGUGGGGAAUAUUGCACAAUGGGCGGAAGCCUGAUGCAGCGACGCCGCGUGAGGGAUGACGGCCUUCGGGUUGUAAACCUCUUUCAGCUCCGACGAAGCGCAAGUGACGGUAGGAGCAGAAGAAGCGCCGGCCAACUAUGUGCCAGCAGCCGCGGUAAGACGUAGGGCGCGAGCGUUGUCCGGAUUUAUUGGGCGUAAAGAGCUCGUAGGCGGCUUGUCGCGUCGACUGUGAAAACCCGCAGCUCAACUGCGGGCUUGCAGCCGAUACGGGCAGGCUAGAGUUCGGUAGGGGAGACUGGAAUUCCUGGUGUAGCGGUGAAAUGCGCAGAUAUCAGGAAGAACACCGGUGGCGAAGGCGUGUCUCUGGGCCGAUACUGACGCUGAGGAGCGAAAGCGUGGGGAGCGAACAGGAUUAGAUACCCUGGUAGUCCACGCUGUAAACGUUGGGCGCUAGGUGUGGGGGGCCUCUCCGGUUCCCUGUGCCGCAGCUAACGCAUUAAGCGCCCCGCCUGGGGAGUACGG